This 508-nucleotide ribosomal RNA is filed under the name uncultured bacterium. RNAcentral describes it as "partial 16S ribosomal RNA". It matches the Rfam family "Bacterial small subunit ribosomal RNA", at positions 30 to 523 of the family's 1533-position model. The record is from RNAcentral.
AUUGAACGCUAGCGGGAUGCUUUACACAUGCAAGUCGAACGGUAGCACGAAGAAAGCUUGCUUUCUUUGGUGACGAGUGGCGAACGGGUGAGUAAUGUAUCGGAACGUACCCAGUAGCGGGGGAUAACUACGCGAAAGCGUGGCUAAUACCGCAUACGCCCUACGGGGGAAAGGGGGGGAUCGCAAGACCUCUCACUAUUGGAGCGGCCGAUAUCGGAUUAGCUAGUUGGUGGGGUAAAGGCCCACCAAGGCGACGAUCCGUAGCUGGUUUGAGAGGACGACCAGCCACACUGGGAAUGAGACACGGCCCAGACCCCUACGGGAGGCAGCAGGGGGGAAUUUUGGACAAUGGGGGCAACCCUGAUCCAGCCAUCCCGCGUGUGCGAUGAAGGCCUUCGGGUUGUAAAGCACUUUUGGCAGAGAAGAAACGACUCUGGAUAAUACCCGGGGUUAAUGACGGUAUCUGCAGAAUAAGCACCGGCUAACUACGUGCCAGCAGCCGCAGUAA